RNAcentral lists this ribosomal RNA (230 nucleotides) under uncultured Alicycliphilus sp. Its description in RNAcentral is "partial 16S ribosomal RNA". It matches the Rfam family "Bacterial small subunit ribosomal RNA", at positions 548 to 774 of the family's 1533-position model. The record is from RNAcentral. Lineage: Bacteria; Pseudomonadati; Pseudomonadota; Betaproteobacteria; Burkholderiales; Comamonadaceae.
AGAGAUGCACUGGGUGUAAAGCGUGCGCAGGCGGUUUUGUAAGACAGAGGUGAAAUCCCCGGGCUCAACCUGGGAACUGCCUUUGUGACUGCAAGGCUGGAGUGCGGCAGAGGGGGAUGGAAUUCCGCGUGUAGCAGUGAAAUGCGUAGAUAUGCGGAGGAACACCGAUGGCGGAGGCAAUCCCCUGGGCCUGCACUGACGCUCAUGCACGAAAGCGUGGGGAGCAAACA